RNAcentral lists this ribosomal RNA (426 nucleotides) under uncultured marine bacterium. RNAcentral's name for it is "bacterial SSU rRNA". It matches the Rfam family "Bacterial small subunit ribosomal RNA", at positions 360 to 804 of the family's 1533-position model. The record is from RNAcentral.
AAUAUUUGUCAACCGGGCACACCCUGAUCCAGCAAUGCCGGGUGUGCGAAGAAGGCCCACAGAGGUAAAGCACUUUCAGUAGGGAAGAUUAUGACGGUACGUCCAAAAGAAGCACCGUCUAACUCCUUGCCAGCAGCCGCGGUAAUACGGAGGGUGCGAGCGGUAAUCGGAAUUAUCAGGCGUAAAGCGUAGGUAGGUGGUUGGGUAAGUCGGAUGUGAAAUCCCCGGGCUCAACCUGGGAAUUGCAUUCGAAACUGCCUCACUAGAGUCUAGCAGAGGGAUGGGGAAUUCCGGGUGUAGCGGUGAAAUGCGUAGAGAUCCGGAGGAACAUCAGUGGGGAAGGGGCCAUCCUGGGCUAAGACUGACGCUGAGGUACGAAAGCGUGGGGAGCAAACAGGAUUAGAUACCCUGCUAGUCCACGCCGUA